RNAcentral lists this ribosomal RNA (433 nucleotides) under uncultured bacterium. RNAcentral's name for it is "partial 16S ribosomal RNA". It matches the Rfam family "Bacterial small subunit ribosomal RNA", at positions 29 to 507 of the family's 1533-position model. The record is from RNAcentral.
AACGAACGCUGGCGGCAUGCCUAACACAUGCCAGUCGAACGAGACCUUCGGGUCUAGUGGCGCACGGGUGCGUAACGCGUGGGAAUCUGCCCUUGGGUUCGGGAUAACAGUUGGAAACGACUGCUAAUACCGGAUGAUGACUUCGGUCCAAAGAUUUAUCGCCCAGGGAUGAGCCCGCGUCGGAUUAGCUAGUUGGUGAGGUAAGAGCUCACCAAGGCGACGAUCCGUAGCUGGUCUGAGAGGAUGAUCAGCCACACUGGGACUGAGACACGGCCCAGACUCCUACGGGAGGCAGCAGUGGGGAAUAUUGGACAAUGGGCGAAAGCCUGAUCCAGCAAUGCCGCGUGAGUGAUGAAGGCCUUAGGGUUGUAAAGCUCUUUUACCCGGGAUGAUAAUGACAGUACCGGGAGAAUAAGCCCCGGCUAACUACGUG